Drosophila mojavensis is the source of this 371-nucleotide long non-coding RNA. RefSeq lists it as uncharacterized. Lineage: Eukaryota; Metazoa; Arthropoda; Insecta; Diptera; Drosophilidae. The record is from RefSeq and is a predicted model, not a curated record. The transcript is spliced from 3 exons.
UCCAAAUUGUAUCAAAUAUAUUAUUUCAUCGAACACCAAUAUGUCCAUAUAAUAGAAGCAGCUAAAAACGAGUUUAAACAAAAAUGGCAGCCUUAAUAAUUUAAUUAACCAAUGAUGACAGACAACAAUAAAAGCCAACAAAAUGUUUCAAUUGGGCGUAACUAACAUGGAAAACAAUGUCACUACUGACCCAAUUAGAAAGCGGAAUGUAUAUAUGCAUGUAUGUAGGGUAUAUUGAUUGUUAAUGCACGUGGACAGUGGACAGACAAAGGCGUGGCGUGACAUUUGCUUACAACAACCUUGUAAGCUUUUAAAUAAAAUAUAUAUAAAUUAUAUAAAAUAAAAUAAAUUCAAUAAUUUAUAUUUAAAAA